UAUACUGGAGAUAUAUACAGUCUUUAAUUUCUAGGGACCAACAUGAUUGGGCGGUUUAGGUUUCUCCUAUGCUGUCUUUCCUCAAAUGAUACUCCCAGAGAACUUGUUUACCAUAGGCUCACUUAUAGGUAUGACUAAAGAAAGUGGCAAAGCAAGCAAGGUAACACACACAGAAAAGUUCGAUUUCAAGGUCUGGGAUGGCUGUCCGAUCUCGGGGGUCGGCUGUCUGAACUUAAGGGUCCAUGGAUCAUUCUAUCCCCCAAAGGGUAAAGGUGUAGGGUUAUAAGGUAUAUAUAGGAUUACCUGAGUGGUGGUAAAGCCCCAAGUUAUUCCUGGAUGCUAUAAUUGUUCAGUAUCUCUUGCUCAGGACUUUAGAAAUACACACCCUUAAGUCUAGAGUGGCUCCUGACAGGACACUUCAAAUGAAAUACUUUUCUUUAACUCUUCACUUUAUUCUGGUCUGGAAAUUCUACUUUUCCUUCAGUUCAGAUCCCACUUUUGCUUAGCUUAUUGCAACCAGGACCAGGGAGGGAUAUAUGCUUUGGAUAGUUUCAUGAUGCCACCUGGUGGUUAUAUCAGGCAGUGUCUAUAGCAGAGAGGGAGGGUCAGUAAUUGGAAUGGUCUGGAUCUUUUUAAAAAGGAAAUGUUGUGAGAGGUGGUGGUUGACACCAAAGGAAUUCAAAUUCAAAGACUGCCACAGUAACUUCCUUGACUCACAUUUGUCUUUUAUAUGCUAUUUGCUUGCCAGUUAUUGGUUGCAGCAGGAAUUUAGAAUCAGUACAGUGCUUUUGAUUGGUCCAAACAGAUUAUGUAAAUUGAACAUGAAACUCCAAAAGUAAGAAAGUAUUU
Molecule: long non-coding RNA, 849 nt
Filed under: Marmota monax (woodchuck)
Lineage: Eukaryota; Metazoa; Chordata; Mammalia; Rodentia; Sciuridae
Source: RNAcentral